GAUGAACGCUAGCUACAGGCUUAACACAUGCAAGUCGAGGGGCAGCAUGGUCUUAGCUUGCUAAGGCCGAUGGCGACCGGCGCACGGGUGAGUAACACGUAUCCAACCUGCCGUCUACUCUUGGACAGCCUUCUGAAAGGAAGAUUAAUACAAGAUGGCAUCAUGAGUCCGCAUGUUCACAUGAUUAAAGGUAUUCCGGUAGACGAUGGGGAUGCGUUCCAUUAGAUAGUAGGCGGGGUAACGGCCCACCUAGUCUUCGAUGGAUAGGGGUUCUGAGAGGAAGGUCCCCCACAUUGGAACUGAGACACGGUCCAAACUCCUACGGGAGGCAGCAGUGAGGAAGAUUGGGCAAUGGGCGAGAGCCUGAACCAGCCAAGUAGCGUGAAGGAUGACUGCCCUAUGGGUUGUAAACUUCUUUUAUAAAGGAAUAAAGUCGGGUAUGGAUACCCGUUUGCAUGUACUUUAUGAAUAAGGAUCGGCUAACUCCGUG
RNAcentral lists this ribosomal RNA (490 nucleotides) under uncultured bacterium. RNAcentral's name for it is "partial 16S ribosomal RNA". It matches the Rfam family "Bacterial small subunit ribosomal RNA", at positions 28 to 507 of the family's 1533-position model. The record is from RNAcentral.